Phycodurus eques (leafy seadragon) is the source of this 1059-nucleotide long non-coding RNA. RefSeq lists it as uncharacterized. Lineage: Eukaryota; Metazoa; Chordata; Actinopteri; Syngnathiformes; Syngnathidae. The transcript is spliced from 3 exons. The record is from RefSeq and is a predicted model, not a curated record.
AUGGAAUGCAACACAAUAGCCCCCCUCCUGCAACUUGAGGCGUUCUCUUGCCAAAUAUUCGAAGUUCUCUCCCCCUCACGUUCUCCGAGCGUGUCACGUCGUUCGCGAUAGAGACGACCAGGAGACACAAACCACUGACAGCCUGUCAGCCGGCGCUCGGAGGAGCACAGCUCGGAACCUUCUAGAUAGCGGCAGAGCCCGCCGCCUCCCCCUCUUCCGGUGACGCACGCACGCCACGACGGUGGAGGUCAACCGUGACGGAGGAGACAUAUUAAUGAUCAGCAAAUAUCGAUGGCGUGAAAGAUGGAAUAACAGCUGCAAUCAACACGGUGGAGCGCGGCACCCUGCGGGGCGUUUGGGAAGAAUUGCCAUCUCGGCUUGACGAUGUCCGCUUGAAGUGACACGAAGUAACAACUUGAACGAAGCACGGAAGUCGACCAUCGACCCACGCCCCGAUCUCGCCAUCACACGCAAAGUCGUCGGCGGGCCGCUGAAAGGCCGCGCAUUCUUUGUCCACCACUUGAGGCAUCUCGUGUUCAAAAUAAUGAAAACAGCUUUUGAGAUUUGUGUUUUAUUCAAGACACUUUUACAUCCUUCAGUGUCGACAUUUCAACAUUGGCAGUACAAAAAUACUGAAAGGCACUUUAAACAGAAAUGUACUGAAGCUUUUUUGUGUUUUUUUUGUAGCCCUCAAUAUUCACAAUGACGGUCGCCUCCUCAAGCAGCAUGUCGAACAUUUACACAGGUGCAGACACAAAGUCCUAGUGGGCGUUUCCACAACAGACACACAUACACAUAUGAUACAAUGUGUAGUAAUACACUGUAUAUACUAGGGCCCGACCGGUUAAUAUGAGCCCUUUUCAUAUCAGCAAAAAAAAAAACCAACAAAAAGAAAUUGGCCGAUUGAAAAAAAAACACAUUUACAAAAUAAGAGAAAGAGAAAUACAUUCAAAUGAACAAAAAUCAGCAAUUCUCUGUUGCAAAAGUAAAGACAAAGUAUUGUUCUGCCUGUAAUUCAUGUCUUUAAUGUUGAAAGCACUAAGUGUGUAUAUUUUUAAU